UUAAGCAUAUCAAUAAGCGGAGGAAAAGAAACUAACAAGGAUUCCCCUAGUAACUGCGAGUGAAGCGGGAAAAGCUCAAAUUUAAAAUCUGGUGGUCUUUGGCCAUCCGAGUUGUAAUUUAGAGAAGCGUUUUCUGCGCUGGGCCAUGCACAAGUCUCCUGGAAUGGAGCGUCAUAGAGGGUGAGAAUCCCGUCUUUGGCAUGGAUAUAACCAGGGCUUUUGUGAUGCGCUCUCAAAGAGUCGAGUUGUUUGGGAAUGCAGCUCAAAAUGGGUGGUGAACUCCAUCUAAAGCUAAAUAUUGGCGAGAGACCGAUAGCGAACAAGUACCGUGAGGGAAAGAUGAAAAGCACUUUGGAAAGAGAGUGAAACAGUACGUGAAAUUGUUGAAAGGGAAACGCUUAAAGUCAGUCGCGUUGUCCAAGACUCAGCCUUGCCUUGGCUUGGUGUAUUUCUUGGUCGACGGGUCAGCAUCGAUUUUGACCCUUGGAUAAUGGUGAGGGAAAUGUGACACCUUUUAGGUGUGUUAUAGUCUCUUGUCACAUGUGAGGGUUAGGAUCGAGGAACUCAGCAUGCACUUUUUGGGUGUCGGGACUUUUGUCCACGAUACAUGCUUAGGAUGUUGGCGUAAUGGCUUUAAACGACCCGUCUUGAAAACACGGA
Molecule: ribosomal RNA, 660 nt
Filed under: Russula sp. CUH AM112
Lineage: Eukaryota; Fungi; Basidiomycota; Agaricomycetes; Russulales; Russulaceae
Description: eukaryotic LSU rRNA
Rfam family: Eukaryotic large subunit ribosomal RNA
Source: RNAcentral